GGAUCUGUAGCACAAUGGAUAGCACUUCAGCCUUCUAGGCAAUUAUAAAGGUGGUGGGUUCGAGUCCCACCAGAGUUG
Pangasius djambal is the source of this 78-nucleotide non-coding RNA. The record is from the annotation of a GenBank genome assembly. NCBI's taxonomy places the organism in Eukaryota, Metazoa, Chordata, Actinopteri, Siluriformes, Pangasiidae.